GAUGAACGCUAGCGGGAGGCUUAACACAUGCAAGUCGAGGGGCAUCACGAGGUAGCAAUACUUUGGUGGCGACCGGCGCACGGGUGAGUAACACGUAUGCAACCUUCCCUGUACAGGGGGAUAACCCGGAGAAAUUCGGACUAAUACCCCAUGAUGAUAUUAUGGGGCAUCCUUUAAUAUUUAAAGCUCUGGCGGUACAGGAUGGGCAUGCGCGACAUUAGCUAGUUGGUAAGGUAACGGCUUACCAAGGCGACGAUGUUUAGGGGACCUGAGAGGGUUGUCCCCCACACUGGUACUGAGACACGGACCAGACUCCUACGGGAGGCAGCAGUGAGGAAUAUUGGUCAAUGGGCGCAAGCCUGAACCAGCCAUCCCGCGUGCAGGAAGACGGCCCUAUGGGUUGUAAACUGCUUUUCCAGGGGGAGAAACUUGCGUACGUGAUACGCAAUUGACGGUACCCUGGGAAUAAGCAUCGGCUAACUCCGUGCCAGCAGCCGCGGUAAUCUGU
This 508-nucleotide ribosomal RNA is filed under the name uncultured bacterium. Its description in RNAcentral is "bacterial SSU rRNA". It matches the Rfam family "Bacterial small subunit ribosomal RNA", at positions 28 to 528 of the family's 1533-position model. The record is from RNAcentral.